AACGCAUAGGAAUCUACCCGGUAGUGGGGGAUAACCUGGGGAAACCCAGGCUAAUACCGCAUACGUCCUACGGGAGAAAGGGGGCUUAGGCUCCCGCUAUUGGAUGAGCCUAUGCCGGAUUAGCUGGUUGGUGAGGUAAUGGCUCACCAAGGCGACGAUCCGUAGCUGGUCUGAGAGGAUGAUCAGCCACAUCGGGACUGAGACACGGCCCGAACUCCUACGGGAGGCAGCAGUGGGGAAUAUUGGACAAUGGGGGCAACCCUGAUCCAGCCAUGCCGCGUGUGUGAAGAAGGCCCUCGGGUUGUAAAGCACUUUCAGCGAGGAAGAACGCCUGUCGGUUAAUACCCGGCAGGAAAGACAUCACUCGCAGAAGAAGCACCGGCUAACUCCGUGCCAGCAGCCGCGGUAAUACGGAGGGUGCAAGCGUUAAUCGGAAUUACUGGGCGUAAAGCGCGCGUAGGUGGCUUGAUAAGCCGGUUGUGAAAGCCCCGGGCUCAACCUGGGAACGGCAUCCGGAACUAUGAGGCUAGAGUGCAGGAGAGGAAGGUAGAAUUCCCGGUGUAGCGGUGAAAUGCGUAGAGAUCGGGAGGAAUACCAGUGGCGAAGGCGGCCUUCUGGACUGACACUGACACUGAGGUGCGAAAGCGUGGGUAGCAAACAGGAUUAGAUACCCUGGUAGUCCACGCCGUAAACGAUGUCGACCAGCCGUUGGGUGCCUAGCGCACUUUGUGGCGAAGUUAACGCGAUAAGUCGACCGCCUGGGGAGUACGGCCGCAAGGUUAAAACUCAAAUGAAUUGACGGGGGCCCGCACAAGCGGUGGAGCAUGUGGUUUAA
This 835-nucleotide ribosomal RNA is filed under the name Halomonas sp. RNAcentral describes it as "bacterial SSU rRNA". It matches the Rfam family "Bacterial small subunit ribosomal RNA", at positions 112 to 949 of the family's 1533-position model. Lineage: Bacteria; Pseudomonadati; Pseudomonadota; Gammaproteobacteria; Oceanospirillales; Halomonadaceae. The record is from RNAcentral.